GUAGUAAUAGAUAUUAACUUGAAACUUAAAGAAUUUGGCGGUAUUUUAAUUUUUUCAGAGGAACCUGUUCUAUAAUCGAUAUUCCACGUUAAAUUUUACUAAAUUGUUUAUAUAUCGUUGUCGAAAGAAUAAAUUUUCUAGUAUUUUUAAGAAAAUAGAUGUCAAAUCAAGGUGUAGCUAAUAUUUUAGUAGAAAUGGGUUACAAUAAAUUUAUUUAGAAAAUUAUAGAAGGAGGAUUUGAAAGUAAAUUAAUUUUAAUAUA
This 262-nucleotide ribosomal RNA is filed under the name Dasypsyllus gallinulae gallinulae. Its description in RNAcentral is "partial 12S ribosomal RNA". Lineage: Eukaryota; Metazoa; Arthropoda; Insecta; Siphonaptera; Ceratophyllidae. The record is from RNAcentral.